CUCGGUUCGCCAAUUUUUAGCAGUCGACCCAAAAGAAAAAAGCAGUUGCCUAACUUGCCCUUGGCGCUAAAAGAAAAAACACGCAUAAUCCACAUAUUAUGCUUCUUGUUCCUUGCAUCGGUGCUUUUUUCUUCAGUGUUUCCUUCCACAGAGCACACACCGGCGAUGCCUCAUCAACCUCUACCUGUGGCAACUGAUUUCUUCUUCUUCUUCUUUUCUUUUUCUGAAAUCAGUAGAAAAAUAUUUUGUUUUCAUAUUUCCAUGGCCUGAUACGUUAAUGCUCUUUAGUUUUAUGAAUUUUGUCUAUGUUCUCGGAGAUGAUUGCACAUGAAGUGUUUGAUGGAAUGCUUCAAUGAAAAUUUUGAUUAAAAUGAAUCUAUAUUGCCCUUGUUCACACCCUUAGUAUAAUAUCCCCAAGUACUUUUACACUUGACAAUUGUUCUGUCUUUAUGGUGAUUUUGCAACCAUGGUCCUUCCUAUUGUUUUUCUUCAUAUCUUUUGGAUUCUUUUUGGUUAUAUUAUUGUAAAUGGAAGGUCAUCAUUUUUGUGUGAUUUGAUGGUUGUGAUGAUAUUAGCAGAGAUGAAGGGCCUAAAAUUGAUAUCAGAUGUCAAACCUUAUGAUUGUGAAAGCAACGGGCAGGUCAUCAUAUAUGUGUGCUUUUGAUGGUUGUAUGAUGGUUGUACUGAAACCCCUAGCAAAACAAAAGCAAAGAUGAUCCAGACAAGCAUGUUGAUAAUGGUAGAACCUCUAACAUCGUGCUCUACUAUUUUUCUACAAAAUGUGAUCCUUUUAUUACAAUUUAGGUAAUGUAUUUUGUGAUAAAGAAUGGUUGUGGGAGAAGAGUAUUAGUAUUUUGUUUGAUAUGGAAUUUAAUUUUAAAAGAGAAGAUUGGUUUACAUAUUCUUAUUGACUUUGUGUACAAUAACUAUAAACAAUGUUGUAAGUUGUUUUUUAAGUUUGUUCGUUUUGAGAUUAA
Molecule: long non-coding RNA, 977 nt
Organism: Lactuca sativa (garden lettuce)
Lineage: Eukaryota; Viridiplantae; Streptophyta; Magnoliopsida; Asterales; Asteraceae
Source: RefSeq, a predicted model, not a curated record